AUUGAACGCUGGCGGCAGGCCUAACACAUGCAAGUCGGGCGGAUGAAGGGAGCUUGCUCCUGGAUUCAGCGGCGGACGGGUGAGUAAUGCCUAGGAAUCUGCCUGGUAGUGGGGGAUAACGUCCGGAAACGGGCGCUAAUACCGCAUACGUCCUGAGGGAGAAAGUGGGGGAUCUUCGGACCUCACGCUAUCAGAUGAGCCUAGGUCGGAUUAGCUAGUUGGUGGGGUAAAGGCCUACCAAGGCGACGAUCCGCAACUGGUCUGAGAGGAUGAUCAGUCACACUGGAACUGAGACACGGUCCAGACUCCUACGGGAGGCAGCAGUGGGGAAUAUUGGACAAUGGGCGAAAGCCUGAUCCAGCCAUGCCGCGUGUGUGAAGAAGGUCUUCGGAUUGUAAAGCACUUUAAGUUGGGAGGAAGGGCAGUAAGUUAAUACCUUGCUGUUUUGACGUUACCAACAGAAUAAGCACCGGCUAACUUCGUG
This 484-nucleotide ribosomal RNA is filed under the name uncultured bacterium. Its description in RNAcentral is "partial 16S ribosomal RNA". It matches the Rfam family "Bacterial small subunit ribosomal RNA", at positions 30 to 507 of the family's 1533-position model. The record is from RNAcentral.